Molecule: transfer RNA, 67 nt
Filed under: Makinoa crispata
Lineage: Eukaryota; Viridiplantae; Streptophyta; Jungermanniopsida; Fossombroniales; Makinoaceae
Description: tRNA-Met
Source: RNAcentral
CGCGGGAAAUUGGUAACUCGUUAGGCUCAUAAUCUGAAUGUUGCGGGUUCGAAUCCAACUCCCGCCA